GUGCUCACUUCAGCAGCACAUACACUAACAAAGAAGAUUAACAUGGCCCUGAACAAAGGAUGACAUGCAAAUUUAUGAAGUGUUCCAUAUUUUU
This 94-nucleotide small nuclear RNA is filed under the name Peromyscus maniculatus bairdii (prairie deer mouse). Lineage: Eukaryota; Metazoa; Chordata; Mammalia; Rodentia; Cricetidae. The record is from RNAcentral.